CAGAGCAGGCCUGGGCAGUGUCUGGGUGGGGCCUGGGAGCCACAGGAGACGCCCAAAGCCAGGCAGAGCCCGGGGGCGAGGGGGCGGCAGGCAGGUGUAGCGCUGCCCUGGGCGGGCUUGCACCCCCACACCCAAGUGAGCGGCCUGCUCACUCCUCAGCUGCAGGAGCCAGACAUGUGGAGUCCCAGCAGAGGCCAACCUGUGUCUCUUCAUCUCCGUGAGAAAGGUGCCCCCGAAGUGAAAGAGAUGGCCUGGUGGAAAGCCUGGGACUCAGGAAUUCUCCCACUCCGGAAUGCCUUGCUGCUGGGGUGACCAGGUCUUCACUUGUGAAACAGGAGUCGGCCACCUCAGCCCUGCGCCUGGCCUGGUGGAACAUGGGUCACCGCCCCAACCUGGGGCAGCCGCCCCAUCCCAACGCAGUUGCUGCCGCUCUCCAUGCCUCCCUGUGCCCAGCUAACCGGGGGACUUGUCCCCUGGGAAAACCUGGGUACCCAGGCUGCCUUUGGUUUCAGCCCCUACUCCUCUUCCCGGGCUGCCUGUGCUCCCCGGACGGCCCCUUUCCCCGGGCUGUGUUCACAUCAGCUGGGAAGGGUCCCUUGCAGACAGAUCUUGGACGAGGUCGCGUCCCCCCUCGUGACCAGCAAACUCCUAAAAGCGGCCCUUGCCCCAGAGCCCCUGUAGCCUCCAACCGGCAGUCAGGAGGCAGCGCCGUCUCAGCGCCGCUUAGUGGCGCCAGGCGUGCCUGGAAAUCCGCUUUCGCAGCGCCCCCUCGUAGCCGCCUCCGCCCGCAGAAAGGCGUUCCCUGGACAGAGAAGCGGGCGCGCGGGGGCGGGCGCGCGGGGCCUUGCCGGAGAACCUGACUCUCCGCAGCAGCAGUGGAAGCCGGAGUGACGCGUUGUGUUGAACACCAGUUUUCUGGAGCGCUGUGUGUUCUCAACAGCUGAGCAGUCUGUUUCUCCAAUCAGGUUUCAAAGCCACUUCAACUGCACUGGCCCCUGUGGGUCACUGCUGCACCGCCCUGGCCCAUGUGGGUCCCUGAGGAGCGACCUGCCGGGGCCACCUGGCUGGACGAAAAAGACACACCUUGGACUUAAGCCGUGAGAAAAAAACUUCAUCAGUAAGAAACAAGUCAAUAGACAAGUAAAAGACUAGGAGAAAAUAUGCAUAAAACAUAAAAAAGUGACUUGAUUCCUGAUUCUGGAGUAUUUAAGAAUUCCUAUAACUCAACAAAAAGUUCAGUUUUUUAAAAUGAGCAAAAGGCUUGGGUAAACUAUUCACAAAGGAACGUAGACAAAUGCCAGUACACACAUGAGAAGCGCAUACACAUCCACAAACUUCAAACAAGCCCACCUCAUGUAUUUCUAGUGAGUAAGGAAAAGAACGCAAACACUUUUGAAAAUUGUUUGGUUGUUUCUUGUAAAUUUAAACAAAUACCCUAUUAUAUUAUCCAGCGAGUCCAUCCUUAGGUUUUUAUCCAAGGAUAAAGAGGUGAAAACUCAUAUCUAACAAAUAGACUUCUGAAAAGAUGAAAAUAGAAGCUUUAUUCAUAAAAGACAAAAACUGGAAAUAACCCAAAUAUUCAUUCACAGGAGAAUGAAUAAACAGACUAGGUUGAAUCCAUACAAUGGAAUGGUAGCAGACAAUAAAAAGAAAAUGAACUAUUGAUGCCCCCUACUGCACAGCAGAAGCUCUGAAUCGUGUUCCUGAAUGAAAGAAGUCAGGCAGGUUCUUCAGGAGGGAUUCCAGAACAAGGCACUCUCAUCACAGGAGAUGACAGCUCCAUGUGCAUGACGGCCCCAGAAGACCAUCUGGUAGGACAAGAUGUGGAGGUGGAACGCAGUGAUAUUGAUAAUCCUGACCCUGGGUAGGUGUGGGCUAAUGUGUGUGUCUUCAUUUUAAUUUUUUUCUAAUUUAAAAUGUAAAAAAAGAAAAAAAGCUUAUAGGAUAAGGAUAUAAAGAAAGAAAAUAUUUUUGUACAGUUAUACAACGUGUGUCUUAAGCUAAGUAUUAAUAUAAAAAAGUCAAAAAGUUAAAAAAAUAAAGUUGAUAACAUAAAGAAGCUAAGGUUCAUUUAUUAUUGAAGGAAGAAAAAAAUUUAAAAUACAUUUAGUGUAGCCUAAGUUUAUAGUGUUUAUAAAAUCUGUAAUAGUGUACAAUGAUGUCCUGGGACUUCACAUUCACUCACCACUCACUCACUAGCUCAUCCAGAGCAAUUUCCAGACCUGCAAGCUUCAUUCAUGGUAGAUGCCCCACAGAGGUGCACUACUUUUUGUCUUCUAUGCUGUAUUUUCACUCUACCCUUCCUAUGUUUAGCUAUGUUUGGAUAUACAAAUAUUACCAUGUUACAGUUGCCUGCAGUAUUCAGUACAGUCACAUGCUGCACAGAUUGGUAGCCUAGGAGCAACAGGCUAUGCCAUAGAGCCCAGGUAUGUAAUGGGCUGUACCAUUUAGGUUUGUGUAAGUACACUCUAUGAUGUUCACACAAUGACAAAAUCCCCUAAUGAUGUGUUUCUGAGAACGCAUCACUGUCAUUGAGCAUCGUUGUGUAUUAAUCCAUUUUCAAGCUGCUGAUAGAGACAUACCCAAGACUGGGCAAUUUACAAAAAAAAAAAAAAAGAUUUAAUGGACUUACAGUUCCAGGUGGCUGGGGAGGCCUCACAAUCACGGCGGGAGGCAAGGAGGAGCAAGUCGCGUCUUACAUGGUUAGCAGCAGGCAAAGAGAGAGCUUGUGCAAGGGAACUCCCCCUUAUAAUACCAUCACAUCUCAUGAGGUUUAUUCACUAUCAUGAGAACAGCACAGUAAAGAUCUGCCCCCAUGAUUCCAUUGCCCUCCACUGGGUCCCUCCCACAACACAUGGGAAUUCAAGAUGAGAUUUGGGUGGGGACACAGCCAAACUAUACCACCAUGACUGUAGUCUCUUGUGUGGGCUCCUUUCACUCAUCAUAAUGUUUCUGGGCUCCAUUCUCCUUGUCAUGUGUAUCUGUAAUCUCUCCUGCUUUAAUGUUGGGUAGUGUUCCAUUCUGCAGCAAUAUCACAAUUUGCUUAUCCAUUCUACUGUCUGGGGUUUUUCCCCAGUUUGAGGCUACUAAAAUUGUUAUAAAUAUUUGUUUAUAAGUCCUUGUGAACACAGGUGUUUUUAUUCCUCUUGAAUAAAUAAAUACCUAGGAGAGGAAUUUCUGUUUUUUUUUUAUUUUUAUGGGUACAUAGUAGGUGUAUAUAUUUAUGGAGUACAUGAGGUGUUUUGAUACAGGCAUGCAAUGCGUAAUAAUCACAUCAGGGUAAACAAGGUAUCCAUCACCUCAAGCAUUUAUCAUUUCUUUGUGAUACAAAAAUUCCAAUUAUACACGCUUACUUAUUUUUAAAUAUACUAAAAAUUAUUGUUGACUGGCCAACCUGUUGUGCUAUCAAAUACUGCAUCUUAUUCAUUGUAUUUAACUCUACUUUUGUACCCAUUAACCAUCUCCAUUUCCCACCCUCCACACCCACAACCUUUUCCCAGCUCUGGUGACCAUCAUUCCACUCUCUAUCUCCAUGAGUUCAAUAUUUUUAAUUUUUAGCUCCCACAAAUGAGUAAGAACAUGCAAAAUUUGUGUUUCUGUGCCUUUUUUAUUUCAUUUAACAUUAUGUCCUCUAAUUCCAUCCAUGUUGUUGUAAAUGACAGGAUCUUAUUCUUUUUUAUGGCUGAAUCGUACUCCAUCGUAUAUAUGUACCACAGUUUCUUUAUCCAUUUGUCUAUUGUUGAACAAUUAGAGUGAUUUCAAAUCUUGGCUAUUGUGAAUAGUGUUGCAAUAAACAUGGAAGUGCAGCUGUCUCUUUGAUAUACUAAUUUCCUUUCUUUUGGGUAUUUACCUACCAGUAGGAUUGCUGGAUCAUAGGGUAGUUCUAUUUUCAGUUGUUUGGGGAACCUCCAUACUGUUCAUCCUAGUGGCUGUAUUAAUUUACAUUCCCACCAACAGUGUAUAAGGGUUCACUUUUCUCCACAUCCUCACCAACAUUUGUUAUUGCCUUUCUUGGAUAAAAGCCACUUUAACCGGGUUGACAUGAGAUCCCAUUGUAGUUUUGAUUUGCAUAUCUCUGACAAUCAAUGAUGUUGAGCACCUUUUCAUAUGCCUAUGUGUCAUUUGUAUGACCUCUUUUGAGAAGCGUCUAUUCAGAUAUUUUACCCAUUUUUAAUUAUAUUAUUAGAUUUCUUCCUAUUUAGUUGUUUGAGCUUUGCAUAGAUUCUGGUUAUUGAUCAGAUGGGUAGUUUGCAAAUAUUUUCUCCCAUUCUGUAGGCUGUCUCUUCACUUUGUCAUUUCCUUUGCUGUGCAGCUUUUUAACUUGAUGUGGAAAUUUCUGGUUUGUAUAGUAAGUAUAUAUUUAAAUUCAUAAGAAACUUCCAAACUGUUUUUCGAAGUGACAGCAUUAAUCCUGAAUUUCCACUAACAUUGUACAAGAGUUCUAGUUGCUCCCGAUUCUUACAAAAAUUCAGAAUUGUUGAUCUUUAAGUUCAGGCAUCCUCAUGGUGUGAGGGGUCGUCACAUUUCCCUGAUGUGUAAUGCUGCAGUGCAUCUUUUUAUGUGUUUAUUGGUUGUUUCGGGAAGUGUUUGCUCAAAAUUUUCUGCCCAUUUUGAUAAAGUUGUUUUGUCUUCUUCUUACUGAUCUUCCAGGGUUCUUUUUAAUUUUUGCAUACCAUUACUUUGCCAAAUACCUGUGUAUAUUUUCUCCUGGUCUGCAACUUGCCCUUUCAUUUUCUUCAUGGUGUCUUUUGUAGACCAAAAACUUUUAAUUUCAAUAAGGCCCAUUUAUCAAUUUUUUUCCUCGAAAAUUUUAUGUGCCCUGAGAAAUCUUUGCCUGCCCAAGUUGUGAAGAUUUUCUCUUAUGUUUUUCUCUAGAAGCUUUACAAAUUUAGCUUUUAUUUUUGUCUGUGAUACAUUUCAAGUUAUGGUAUAGGUAAGGGUUGAAGUUCACUUUUUUCAUGUAUAGAUCUUCACUUGUUUUAGCACCAUUUAUUCAAAGACUAUCUUUUUCCCCAUCAAAUUACUUUGGUAACUUUGUUAGGAAUCAACAUAUUAUGUAUGUCCAGAAACAGGACAUCUGAUUCUGUUCCACUGACGAAUUGUCUAAACUGAAACCUAUACCACAUGUCUUCAUUACUCGCUUUCCUGUAAUCUUGAAAUAAAGUAGAUAAGUCCUCAACAUUCAUUCUUUGUAAAAAUUGCUUUGAUUAUUCUAGAUUAUUUGUACUUCCAUGUAGAUUUUGGAAUCGCUUUGUCAAUUUCAACCAAAAAUCAGGAGAGCUGACUUCUUAACAAUAUUGGCAAUUCACUUUGUCUCCACAAUGUUUCAUAGUUUUUUACACAGAGAUUUUGCUCAUCUUGUAAGUAUUUUCAAAUGGUACUAUAGACAGUAUUAUUUAUAUAAUUUAAUCUUCCAAAUUGCCACAAUUUAGGAAAACAACUGAUCUUUUGUUUACUGACCAUUGUAUCUUAUGACCUUGCUAAAUUCGCUUAUUUUAGUAACUUUUUGUAAAUUCCUUAGGAUUUUAAAGUACAUUAUUAUUUCUUCUAUGAAUGGAUUCAGUUUUACCUCCUCCUUUCGAAUCUUAUGUCGGUAUUUCCUCUUACCUUAUUGCACCACCUAGGACUUUUGGUACAAUGUUGAAUGAUCAUGGCAAAAGUGGACAUUCCUGCCUCACUCCCAACCUGAGGAGGAAAACAUUAUGUCUUUCACUAUCAAAUUUGAUAAUACCUGUAGGUUUUUCAUGACAGCAUUUUUUCAGGUUGAUGAAUUUCCCUUCUACGCCAGUGUUUUAAGAGGAUUUUAUUUUUUUAAAAAAAAGUACAUCGUGAAUGAGUAUUGCAUAUUGUCAAAUGCUUUUAUAACAUCUAUCUAGAUCAUCACCUGGGUUUUCUGCUUUAAACUGCUAGAAUUGCAUUCAUUGAUUGGUCAAUUGCACUGAUUAACUUUGCAUUUCUAGGAUAAGCACUCUUGGUCAUAGUGUAUUACCCUCUACAUAUAUUCCUAGAUUCAACAUACUGAAAUAUUUUAAGGAUGUUUGCAUGUAUAUUCCUUUUUUUUUUUUUUUUUUUUUUUUUGGAGACAGAGUCUUGCUCUGUCUCCCAGCCUGGAGUGCAGUGGUACGAUCUCAGCUCACUGCAACCUCCACCUCCCAGGUUCAAGUGAUUCUCCUGCCUCAGCUUCCUGAGUAGCGGGGAUUACAUGCGUACACCACCACACCCAGCUAAUUUUUUGUAUUUUUAGUAGAGAUGGGGUUUCACCAUGUUGCCCAGGCUGGUCUUGAACUCCUGGCCUCAAGUGAUCCACCCAGCUCAGCCUCUCAAAGUGCUGGGAUUACAGGCGUGAGCAUGGUGCCCAGCUGCAUGUAUAUUCCUUGUGGACAUUGGCCUAUAAGAUUUUUUUCUUGUAGUAUCUUUUCUCUGAGUUUGAUAUCAGGAUUAUGCUGAUCCCAUAAAUUAAGUUAGAAAGUCUUUCCUCCUCCUUUACUUUCUGCAAGUUUGUAUAAAAGUGAUACUACUACUUCCUUAAAUAUUUGAUUGAAUUCACUAGAGAAGUCACUGGAGCCCGGAAUUUUCCUUGUGUGAAGGUUUUUAAUUACAAAGUUAAUUUCUUUAACGGUUAUAAAGCUAUUCAGAUUAUCUAUUUUUUCUUCACUGGGCUUUAGUAAUUUUUCUUUUGAAAAAUUUUCCCAUUUCCUCUGGGUUGUCAAAUUUGUUGCCGUAAAGCUUCUAUAAUAUCCCCAUAUUAUUUCUUUAAUCUCUACAUAGUCUGUAAUUUUUAUUCCCUCUUUUAUUAGUGAUGUUGGUAGUUUGUUUUAUGACUUUUUAUUAGGAGUUUAUCAAUUUUAUUGAUCUUUUCAAAGAACUUUUUAUCUUAUUGACUUUCUUUAUUAUUCCUUUUUCUAUUACAUUGUUUUCUGCUAUUAACUUGAUUUCCUUUCUUCUACUUACAUUAGGUUUAAUUGGCUCCUCUUUUUCCAACUUCUAAAAGUAAAGCUUAAAUCAUUGACCUUGGACUUUUUAUAUUUUCUAAUAAAAAUCAUUUAAAGUUAUAAAUUUGUCUCUAAUCAUUACAAAAAUUUUGAUAGUCUGUGUUCUAAUUCUUAUUUAGGAAAAAUUAUUUUAAAAUAUCUUUUGUGAUUUUCUCUUUGAUCCAUGUAUUAUUUAAAAGCAUGUUGCUCAGUUUCCAAAUACUUGGGGAUUUUCUAGAUAUCCUUCUGCUAUUAACUUCUAUUUUAGUUCCACUGAAUUUAGAUAACAUGUUCUAUAUUAUUUUGGUCCUCUUAAAUGUAUAAAGUUGUUUUCUGCCCCAGAUAUGGUCCAUUAUAAUGAAAGUUUUGUGUUCAGUUGGAAACAAUGUGGAUUCUAUGAAUAUGGUGAAUUGCGUUGAUUGAUUUAUUGCGCUGUUGAUUAAACUGACUUUGCAUUCCUAGGAUAUAGAACACUACACCUAAAAAUCUGUAUUUAGGUAGAAGGUUCUAUAGGCAUCAAUUAAAUCAAGUUGGUUAGUAGUAUUGUUCAAGUGUCCUUCCCCUUUAUUCAUUUUUUCUACUUGUUCUAUAAGUUACUGAGAAACAAGUAUGACAAUUUGUAAAUAUAAGUGUAGAUUUCUCUACUUCCCCCUUCAUUUCUGUCCAUUUCUUUGUCAUAUUUUGAAGUUCUAUUAUUAGGUGAAUAUAUGUUUACAAUUUUUCUCUUUCUGAUAAAUUUAUCAUUAUGAAAUGUUCUCGUUUAUUUCUUGUUCUGCAUAUUUCUUGUUCUGAAGUUUACUUUUUCUGAUAUUUAACUAGCCCCUCCAACUUUGUUAUAAUUGGUGCUACAUGGUAUAUUUUUUUCCAUCCUCUUACUUUUGACCUACCUGUGCCUUUAAAUUAUUGAGGUCUUCAGACAACAUAGAGUUGAGUCUUGCCUUAUUAUACAGUCUAAAAAUAUUUGUCUUUUUAUUGGAAUUUUUAGACCAUUUUCAUUUUAUAUAAUUAUCAGUAUAGUUGGGUAUAAAUCUACCAUUUGUCAUUUGUUCUCUGUUUAUUUCAUCUGUUCUUCAUCCUUUAUUUCUCUUUUCUUGAUUUCUUUUAGAGGAAUUAAAAAUGUUUAUGGUUCUAUUUUAUCUCCACUGUGAGUUCAUUAGCUAUAACUCUGGCUUCAUGUUUAGUGGUUGCAUGAGGGUAUACAAUAUGUAUCAUUAGCUCAUUACAAAUAUACUAUUAUAACACUUUAUGUACAAUGUAAGACCUUACAACCAUAUACUUCUGUUUCCUCCAUUCUGUCCAUCAUGCUAUCAUUACAUAUUUUGCUUUAAUAUGUUAUAAGCCACACAGUACGUUGUUAUUAUUUUUGUUUAAACAAUCAAUUAUCUUUUAAGGAAAUUUAAAAAUGAGAAAAGCCUUUGUAUUUACCCACAUACUUACCAUUAAGUGUUUUUCAUCCUUUGUCCACUUAGUAUCACUUCACAUUAGAAACACCUGGUGAGUCUUAUUAUAUUUGUUAGUGUGAGGAAAAUAAUUGAAAGUAUACACAGUUACCCAGCUCCUUGUCUCUUAUAAGGGGUUGAUUAGGAGUAUCCAGUGGUGAUAUCUUUAUUGCUAGAUCAUGCCAUGGACUAUUAGUGCUCUCUUUACAAUUGGAAAUAAAGUUAUUAGCAACUUAAAGUGUAAUCAGAUUAGAGACCCAAUUUUGGAAUAGAUAGAUAUGAUUAUACUUAAAUAUAAUAUAUAACUAUAUAUAAUUUUGUACAUAUGCAUAACGUGUGUGUGUGUGUGUGUGUGUGUAAGGAAUUGGCUCCUAUGAUUAUUGAGGCUGACAAGUCCCAAAAUCUGCAGUUAGUAAGCUGGAAACAGCAGAGCCAAUGGUGUACUUCCAGUUCAAAGGCUGGCAGGCUCAAGACUCAUAAAAAGCUGAUACUUCAGUUCAAAAAUGGCAGGAAAAAAAAAACCACCUCCCAGCUCAAAGCAGUCAGGCAGGAUGAAAUUCUCUCUUACUUGCAGGAGAGUCAGUCUGUCUGUUCUAUUCAGAUCUUCAAUAGAUUUGAUGAAGCCCACCCACAUUUCUUAGCCACUGGCAUUUAGCAAUUGGAUUAUGUUUUACCUUGCAUAGUUUUCUUUGUGCUUAUCUUGCUUUUGAUCUAUUGAGCAUCAUGGAUGGGUGGUUUUGUAUGUUUCAUCAAAUUUGGAGCAUUUUUUACCAUUAUUUCUUCAAAUAUUUUUUCUCUUCCCUCUUUCCUUUCCUUCUCAGCUUCCAAUUACAAGUAUGUGAUCCAUAUACUUGCAUGAAUAUUUUCCCACAGGUUACUAAAGAUUCAUUUAAAUUUUCUUUUUAGUCUCUUUUGACUGAAUUUUAGUUUUGAAAGUUUCUAUUGCAACUUUCAAGUUCACUGAUCUUUUCUUCUUCACGUCUAAUCUGUUCAUUUCAUAAAGAAAUUUUUUUAUUUAAGAUUUUUAUUUUUGGCCCUUGUAUUUCCUUUUUAAUUUUUCUCCUUCUUUGAUGAUUACUUUCAUGUUUCCUUUAAAUUCGUGUGUAUAUCUGUAAUUGGUGUUUUCAAUCCUUUGUGUGCUAUUUCCAACAUCCAUCAUUCCUGAGUGUGUUUCUAUUGACUGGUUUUUCUCUUGGUAGGAGUUGCACUUCUGUGCAUCUUUACAUGUCUGUAUUUCUUAUAUGACACCAAACAUUGUUAAUUAUACCUUACUUAAUGCUAGAUUUUGUUGUCCUCCUCUAAAGAUUGGUAGAUAUUUUUCUGGCAGCCAGCUGAGUUACUUAGAAAUUACCCUGACCCUUUUGAGGUUUGUUUUGAAGCUUUGACUGAAGGAAAGGGGUUAGAUUAGACUUUAUUUAGGGCUUCUUUACUCCUCCUGCCAAGACAUGACUUUUCUGGGAUCUCAACUGAACGCACCAGAUUUUCUACAAGGACGCUCCACUCUGGCUGGUAGGAAUGCAGGGGUCCCCCCCAUGUCCCACAUGAGCUCUGAAAGUGCCUGCUCACUGCUUUCCAAUCACCCUUUGCCCAGCCUCCUGGAGUUUCAUGAUAGACAUCCACAACCUAAUUUUUAUAACAGAUCCAUGGGGAACCCUGUUGUACUAAUCUGUUCUCACACUGCUAUAAAGAAUGACCUGAGACUGGGUAAUUUAUGAGUUAAAGAGGUUUAGUUGACUCACAGUUCCACAGGCUGUACAGGAAGCAUGGUUGGGGAAGCCUCAGAAAACUUAAAAUCAUGGAAGAAGGGGAAGAGAAAGCAAACACAUCCUUCACAUGGCGGAGCAGGAGGGGAAGUGGUAAUCUCAUGAGAACUCACUCACUAUCACAAGAACAGCAAGGGGGAAAUCUGCCCCCAUGAUCUAAUCAUCUCCCCCCAGGCCUCUCCUCCAACACUAAAGACCACAAUUCAACAGGAGAUUUGGGUAGGGACAUAGAGCCAAGCCAUAUCAACUGUACAGAUUUCUGGAUAUUUUUCUGUACAUUACUCCCUCCUCUCAAAACUGCUGCAUUGGGGAUUAAGUUUCCAACACAUAAACUUUGUGGGACACAUGCAACCAUAGCAAUUCCCUUCCAGGGAGGUUCUGCAAAGAGGCCUGCCACUGAUUCCUCAUUGCAUGGAGAUGAGAUCUCCCUUAUUCUGCAAGGCCAUGUGGUUUUUCCAUCUCUUUCUAAUCUGAGUGUUCAGGUAAAAGUCCAUACCUGCUAACAGGGGCAAGCAGGUGCUAAAAACUAGUGAAAAAACUAGUGAAGAGGGCCCAACUAACUGAAGAGUAGCAUGCCCACCCAAAGGGUCAGCUGUGACCAAGAUCCCACAAAGGUAGCCAUGCACAAAUGCAGGCCAGGGCUGCUUGACUUCAGAUUCUUCAAAAGAAGCUGCAAGUCACAAUUUUUACAUGAAAUGUCCUGUGUGUUAAAAGUUAGCAACUGUGGGCCAGGCUCGGUGGCUCAUGCCCGUUAUCCCAGCACUUUGGGAAGCCGAGGAGGGUGGAUCACAAGGUCAGGAGUUCAAGACCAACCUGGCCAAUAUGGUGAAACCCUGUCUCUACUAAAAAUACAAAAAUUAGCUGGGCUUGGUGGCACAUGCCUGUAAUCUCAGCUACUCGGAAGGCUGAGGCAGGAGAAUUGCCUGAACCCGGGAGGCGGAGGUUGCAGUGAGCUGAAGUCAUGCCACUGCACUCCAGCCUAGGUGAAAAAGGGAGACUCUGUCUCAAAAAAUAAAAAAAAAGUUAGCAACUGUGGAGGACAAACAAAAUGCUGACCCUGUCUUCAGACUUCUCCUUGGAUGGAAGGGUGGCAGACCCAAAGCCUUUGGCUUAAGAAAUCUCCCCAGGGCCAGGUCCUAACAAAACGUGGCUUCUCCCAUGAUGUCCCCCAUGUGUCAAUGCUAAACCGACCCUCUGGCUCUGACAAUUCAAAGUCAACUCAACAAAUGCUUACUAAGCAUUUGCUGCCUGACAGGCUCUGGCCUUGAUGUUGGGAAUAAGACUGGACCGGUCACUCAUAUCUCUGCCCUCAGAGAUGUGACCUCAGAGAUUAAACCUCUAGUGUUUACUAGAGGUUAAACACUAGUGAGGAGGCAGAUAUUAGCCCAACCAUCGCAAGAAUACAUGACUACAAACUGAGAUAAAUAUUAGGAAGAAAAAUUGGAGGAAACUAAGAGAGUUUAUUACAGCAGAUUUUACUGGCUAUGAUAUUUGAACUGAAUGUUGAAGGAUGGAUAGCAUUCAAAUAAUUAAAGAGAUUGGAUGAGAUUGAGAGUAAAGCUUUCCAUAAAGUGAGCACAGUACGUGCAAAGGCCCUGAGGCAGAGCAGAGUGUAGGCAUUCUACAAACUCAAAGGCCAGUGUGGCUGGAGUGCAGGGAGAAAGAGAGAAAGUGCACACAGGUCUUCUAACACCUAAAAAAAAUGUGUUAGCCACCUCGUUUUCCCCAGUGUAGCCAGAAAUGCAUUGGUAAGGAAAGACCCAGGUUAAAGCAAGCCCGAGUGUGUGACCACCCUCUGCAUGGUGGCUCCUGUCCUGCUACCCAUUCCAGGAGGACACAGCAAAACCAGGGGCCACAUCUUUGAUUCUGUAACUUGCAUCACAGGUCCUCCAAAUACAGCUCCUUCCCCAUCAGUCCCUGGAUACUUCUAAGUUCAUUUCCUGAUCAAUUUCCCUCUGGCCUAUACAUCUUAACCAUUGAGGAUGUUGUCUUGCUCUCGGCCUGGUCCGUCUGUGUUUGCCACUUACUGUGUGUCCCCUCAGGGCCCAGACCAGAGCCACAGACAUGGGCUGGACCCCUCCCUAGUGGGUGAAGAGCCCUGGUGUCAUCAUCCAGGAAGAGGCUGAUCCUCCCAAGGAAAUGGGACCAGAGGGAGGGGAACUCAGGCUGUCCCUCUCUGGAGCUGACGUAGGCCCAUCUUCACCCUGGUUUUGACUUGAGUUUAGAUUUGUCUGAGGCCAGGAAGGUUAGUGAGGCAGCAGCGGGUGGGCAAAGAGACCCUUACCCAGUGAAGACAACUGGGGUGAGGCCGCCUCAGGGUAAGGCCCUCUGAAGAGGAGAGGGGUUUUCCCGUGAGCCCAUAACAUCGAGUCACCUGCUGCCUCCUGAUUCAGUCAACAUUGCUGAGUGUCUGCAGCUGAGCCCACUCUCUGUGCUGGCACUGGAAUCCUAGGUGACAAAAUGCCCAGGCCCUGUUCUGAGGAAGCAGAUGCCCCUGAGGAAGUGGACAACAGUCCAGCAACCCCAUGUGGCAGUGGAAGCACAAGUGAGGGCAUGGCUAUGCCCAGGAAUUCUCUGAACCACAAGAGGGUCGAACUCAGGGCCUGAGCCAGUCUUGGGGGUCAGCAAGAGCAUCCCAGAGGGAGUGACAUAGAAGCUCUCCACUCCAGGCUAGCUGGGAGUUGUAGGCCAGGUGGAGUACAUUCCAGGCAGAGGAAACUGCAGAUACAAAAUCCUGGGAGCAGGAGAGAGUGCAGAGAGUUUAAGGAAGAAAGAAGUCACAUGAAGCGAGAUGGGGCUGCAGGAGAAGGAACCUGUACAA
RNA transcript from Homo sapiens (human), 12994 nucleotides. It is a transcript of the gene named annexin A8, with no coding region annotated. NCBI's taxonomy places the organism in Eukaryota, Metazoa, Chordata, Mammalia, Primates, Hominidae. The transcript has 3 exons. The record is from RefSeq and is marked reviewed.